This 380-nucleotide unclassified non-coding RNA is filed under the name soil metagenome. RNAcentral describes it as "partial contains 5.8S ribosomal RNA, internal transcribed spacer 2, and large subunit ribosomal RNA". The stretch from base 1 to 120 matches the Rfam family "5.8S ribosomal RNA", at positions 35 to 154 of the family's 154-position model. The record is from RNAcentral.
GAUGAAGAACGUAGCGAAAUGCGAUAAGUAAUGUGAAUUGCAGAAUUCAGUGAAUCAUCGAAUCUUUGAACGCACCUUGCACCCUUUGGCAUACUGAAGGGUAUGCUCGUUUGAGUGUCAUUGUACUCUCACACUCCCGAUCUUUGCAUUGGGAGCAGUGGACUUGGGUUUGCUGCUUCACCGUCGCUUACCUCAAAUAGGUUAGUGCAACUCUUGGUUGGACAUAGUACGGCGUGAUAAGUGUUCUUCGCCGGUGCCUCGCAAAGAGGGUGGCCGAUCGGGAUGUUGUGCUCCAAACCGUCUUCGGACAAUCUCUGACGACUUGACCUCAAAUCGAGUAAGACUACCCGCUGAACUUAAGCAUAUCAAUAAGCGGAGGA